Long non-coding RNA from Perognathus longimembris pacificus (Pacific pocket mouse), 694 nucleotides. RefSeq lists it as uncharacterized. NCBI's taxonomy places the organism in Eukaryota, Metazoa, Chordata, Mammalia, Rodentia, Heteromyidae. The record is from RefSeq and is a predicted model, not a curated record. The transcript is spliced from 3 exons.
AGUGGCACUGUGGCUCAAGUGGUAGCGUGCUAGCCUUGAGCAAAAGCAGCUCAGGGACAGUGCUCAGGCCCUGAGUUCAAGUGCCAGGACUGGCAAAAUAAAGAAAGAACAAAGUGAAACUAAGGGAGUUAGGCAUCCCUGGUGACUCUUGCAUCUACUCUACUUGGUUGCAAGGUGAGCUGUAAAAAGGUACUCAGAGAAAUCUGUCCCAUGUGGUCUCCUCUCCACCUGCCUCCCAGCCCAUCUACAGUGGCUAGAGCUGCAGCAGCAACAAGAAUAAGAACAAUAUGGCUGCUAUUUCCUGUGAACUGUGCAUCAAGUAUCGUUAGAAGGGCCAGCACUAUGUGUGUGGGAGCCAGCUGAGGUCACCUAGGGUUGCUACAGGAGCUCAGAGGGCUCCAGUGGCUGGCUAUGGACCUUGUAUCAGCAUUCAAGGCCUAUUGAGCAGCCCUCAUUUCUUGCUUCUCAUGCCUUGUCCUUGCUUCUUGCCCUCUUGCCUCUCUAGCACACUAGGAUGGCUGCCAGAAAAAAUACAGGACACACAGUGAAAUCUUAAUUUCAGGUAACCAAUGAAUACUUUUAGAAGCAUAUCCCAAAUAAUAUCUUAAUUGGUUAUCUGAAAUUUAAAUUCUAACUCCAUGUUUUUUUUUUGUUUUUAUUUUUUGCCAGUCCUGGGGCUUGAACUCAGGGCCUG